UAGCUUGCAUUUCGAGCAGUAAAACCACGCUAGACUUAUGCAACCACACAUUCUUGUGAAAGGUUAAACAAGCUAGCGUGCAUAUACGAAGCGUUAUCCACUGCUGACAUGCUACGUAGUCGAUAAGCUUCACAUCUGCCAAGCGCAGAACAACCUACACCAAGUCCUAAAGUGUUGUGAUACUCGUUAUGCAACCUAUGGAAUUGGAGAAAGCCAAGGUUAACAACCUAGUGGUUACGCGGACUUGUCUACUUUUGUAAGUAAGGCAUUCGGUUGCCAACCUUAUGACUAACAACUUUGCAAAGUUCUACACCAACACCUACGGCUGCAUAGACUACGCGAGCCUGUCUGCUUAUAGAAAAGUAGCACGCAUGCCACUGGUCUAUAAAAGUCUAAAGGUUAGGGCAUGAACAAAAGAAGUGAAGAUGAAGAAAAGCGAAUGAAGCAUGUUUAUAAAAUAUUAGCAAAGGUCGAAGGAGUUCAAGCAAAACAAGAGCUACAAGGAAAAACAAAUAAAAUCCUAAAAGCUACCUAGAGGACUACAACAGCUUGGACAUCCCAAGACUACUUGGUCGCCACACCUUCAGUAGCCGCGAUGCUCUUAGCAGCGGCAUCAUCCGGCGCUUCUCCCCUAGCUACCUCAUCCUUGGCACUAACUUCUCCAAUUACUUCACCAAUGGAAGCCUCAAAAGUAAAAACAAGCAAGUUUUUUGGAGAAACUACCAUAGUCUUCACCACCUCCUUGGCAGCCUUGCUAUAUAUGCAUCAUAGCAAACAGAGCAGUCCUUCUAUAUUGGGUCGUAUGUUUCACAAAGGAACUUGGGCAAACAACUUUUCUACCUCCAUCAACAAACUUGGCACAAACGUCCAUAUCUUCAAGUAAAUCUAGUUUUAAAAGCACAUAGAUCUCAGCAGCCUCCCCAGAAGCUGUUGGAAAUGUGCCCUAAAACCAUGAUACUUUACGGACAUUUCACAUGUUAAACUAAUCUAGUUUAACUAUAAAGGGCAAAGAUUAUUGUUUGAGUCGUCUCAUAUAAAUGUUAUAUGCUUAAACGAUAAAGUCCAAGGAAUAUGUGAUUGGGAGAAUGCGAUCUAAAGAAGUUAGAUUCAUGAGACCAUUCUUUCGUAGACACAUCCUAAACGUUCCUGAUCAUAGGAUUGCCAAUUGGGCAUUGACAGUCCGUUAAGAUCAGUACGUGCUGUAUCUUCUCUCAGGGAAAGUGACUAGUCUCGAGUCAUUGGUGUGUGUGACAUCAAGACAAGUACGUAGGUGCUCAAUAGAGAAUGAGUUCACUGAACACGAUCAACGAAGAGUUCUCAUAUUCAUGUCACAUGAGAACUCAUGGUUGGGAUAAUGCAAAGUAGUCCUUUGACUUGAGGCAUCACAGUUGUCUUGUGGUUAAGUUCUUGAUCUUUGAUUAUGUCAAAGUCACCCCAUCGGGGUGUCCACGGCAUCGUUGGGGUUAAGCCACUUAGCCAUGGAGACAAGUGAAUGCGCAACAAGGGAUCUCUAACCUUCAAACCGUUUGAGGGAGAAUACUCUAUGAUAUGAUUUAGAACCUCUGGCCAGAGUAUGAAUGAGAUUUAGGAAAGCGUUCCAAAUCACAUUCAAGGUAAUCAUAUAAGCACAUGAAUCACAUUGGAUAGUAGACAUGAAUAAAUAAACUAUCAAACCAAACAAUGUGGUUAAGAGUAUUGUAUUAGAGAAAGACCGUAUUGCAUUUGUAAUCCUAAACUGAAUAGGUUCUCCACCUCUUCUGAUUAGCUUAGGUAACCAUGAUAUGCUGCUAGG
RNAcentral lists this long non-coding RNA (1792 nucleotides) under Malus domestica (apple). Its description in RNAcentral is "long non-coding RNA (MDOM_LNC007703)". Lineage: Eukaryota; Viridiplantae; Streptophyta; Magnoliopsida; Rosales; Rosaceae. The record is from RNAcentral.